RNAcentral lists this ribosomal RNA (414 nucleotides) under uncultured bacterium. RNAcentral's name for it is "bacterial SSU rRNA". It matches the Rfam family "Bacterial small subunit ribosomal RNA", at positions 441 to 856 of the family's 1533-position model. The record is from RNAcentral.
UGGAGGAGAAUUUGGACAUCCUGGGGGGAAGAAAGUACCUGAAGAAUAAGCACCGGCUAACUACGUGCCAGCAGCCGCGGUAAUACGUAGGGUGCAAGCGUUAAUCGGAAUUACUGGGCGUAAAGCGUGCGCAGGCGGUUAUGUAAGACAGAGGUGAAAUCCCCGGGCUCAACCUGGGAACUGCCUUUGUGACUGCAUAGCUUGAGUGCGGCAGAGGGGGAUGGAAUUCCGCGUGUAGCAGUGAAAUGCGUAGAUAUGCGGAGGAACACCGAUGGCGAAGGCAAUCCCCUGGGCCUGCACUGACGCUCAUGCACGAAAGCGUGGGGAGCAAACAGGAUUAGAUACCCUGGUAGUCCACGCCCUAAACAUGUCAACUGGUUGUUGGGAAGGUUCCUUCUCAUUAACGUAGCUAAC